This 672-nucleotide long non-coding RNA is filed under the name Pan troglodytes (chimpanzee). RNAcentral's name for it is "lincRNA". Lineage: Eukaryota; Metazoa; Chordata; Mammalia; Primates; Hominidae. The record is from RNAcentral.
AGAAGGGGUCUCACUAUGUUGUCUGGAGUGCAGUGGCUGGAGUGGAGUGGCUAUUCACAGGAGAUGACAGCUCCGUGUGUGUUACUGCCCCUGAAGACCUUCCAGUGAGACAAGAUGUGGAGGCGGAAGACCAUAAUAUUGGAGAUCCUGUCCCUGUGUAGGCCAAGGCUAGUGUGUGUAUUUGUGUCUCAAUUUUUAACAAAAAAGUUUAAAAGGAUUCUUGGAAUGGACUGUAAAAGUGUGGAGUCAAGACUUUGUGUUUCCUCUCUAACAUGUAAAGAGCUUAGAAGUUGUCGCUAUUGCCCUUACAACAAAAUGAAGCUGGACAAACUGAAAAUCAAUGACUUUUCUUGGACUCACUAUAGAGCUGAGUUUGCAGAGUAAACCACUACCCUGAAAUCUGGAAAGGCAGGUGCACCCAUAGAUCCUCAGCUGAGAUCCAAUUACCUGAAAUAGAAGCUGCCAUUAGGAACACUUAAAAGAGCCUGUUCUGCUGGGACACAGAAUCACUUGCUCCAUCUCAUACAUUGAUGAUGAUUAAUUUGUAUGUGUACCUUCCAAAAAAAGAUGGUUGUGUUUGAACGGAGGCCUUCUGGACAGGAAAAUAUGGAGAGUGCGUGCUUUGGAUUCAAGACUGGGAAUGAGGGGACCAGAAACCUAUUCUGUGGCUGU